Lates calcarifer (barramundi perch) is the source of this 972-nucleotide long non-coding RNA. RefSeq lists it as uncharacterized. The transcript has 2 exons. Lineage: Eukaryota; Metazoa; Chordata; Actinopteri; Centropomidae. The record is from RefSeq and is a predicted model, not a curated record.
AGCCAGGCAGUUAGCGCCAGAGUUGAGGUGGUGCAGCUAGCACUCUGACCACCUCUGCGGAAGCAGGUCAGUGUUGGCAGGCCUUUGGAGUUCAACACAGCAAACCACAGAGGCUGCUGAUCUGUGACUGCACAGAGCGAGAGCUGAACAGCAGGUGGAGGCAUGGCCUGUAUUCACUGCUAGUAGAGCUGCUGUCCAACCUGCAGAAGCCAAAUAUGUGUCAGGUCAGCUGCCAAGAACAACCGAGGCCAGGCUUGUCUUGGCGUCUGAUCAAAAAGAAGGACCCAGCUCCAGUCACACAGCAACUGAAAACAUUUACACAGCUGGGACCCUCGAACCCUGAGGCCGCCCUGCCCUACUGCAAGGACCUGCGCUGGAGCAAUGGGAGAGAGAGUAAGAGGAAAAGGGGGGGUGGGCAGGGGGGGAAGGACCAGGUGCUUCUGGGGAAUGUAGGAGGUCCGAGGAUGGAGCAAAGGAUAAUGACCACUAUGAGCUCACUGUUACUCACCCGCUGUUCCCCUUGUCCCAAAAGUCAUGUUUACCUACGCCCCCGUUUUGAUGAAGGGACAAAAAUACACACACAAGCAUGAACACAAAACAAGGGCCUGCAAAGACAUGCAAAGACAUGCAAGGACAAGCGGACAUUCAUGCAUAAAUGCAUGUUCGUGUUUGCACAAACUAGCUGAAAAACAGGUACUGAUAAGAUUGUGCUAUAUAUCCUUUAAAUCUGUAUUUAUGGCUGCGUGCACCCACGUGUCUGUUAUGGGACGUGUUUCUGUUUGAUGAGCUGUGUUUGUGUGUUUAUGCAGAGAUUAGAGAAGAUUUCUUCACUGGAUCAAGAGAUACAGUCAAGAAAAAAAAUCUGCAUUGCACUGCAAGUAGUAUAUGUCCAUAAACUAAAUGUACAUACCAGACGAGCUACACUUUUUGAGCAUACAUUCAUAAAUAUACCAGAUGUUUGCAUUAAUGCCA